This 403-nucleotide ribosomal RNA is filed under the name uncultured bacterium. RNAcentral describes it as "partial 16S ribosomal RNA". It matches the Rfam family "Bacterial small subunit ribosomal RNA", at positions 30 to 526 of the family's 1533-position model. The record is from RNAcentral.
AUUGAACGCUGGCGGCAGGCCUAACACAUGCAAGUCGAGCGAGCGGCGGACGGGUGAGUAAGGUAUGGGGACUGUCCGUUAGAGGGGGAUAACUACUGGAAACGGUAGCUAAUACCGCAUACUAUCGGAUACCGCAUAUGGGAUUAGCUAGUUGGUGAGGUAAUGGCUCACCAAGGCGACGAUCCCUAGCUGGUCUGAGAGGAUGAUCAGCCACACUGGGACUGAGACACGGCCCAGACUCCUACGGAGGCAGCAGUAGGGAAUAUUGCGCAAUGGGCGAAAGCCUGAUGCAGCAAUGCCGCGUGUAUGAAGAAGGCCUUAGGGUUGUAAAGUACUUUCAGUAGGGAGGCGUUACCGACAGAAGAAGCACCGGCUAACUACGUGCCAGCAGCCGCGGUAAUAC